UAGGGAAUCUUCCACAAUGGACGAAAGUCUGAUGGAGCAACGCCGCGUGAGUGAAGAAGGGUUUCGGCUCGUAAAACUCUGUUGUUAAAGAAGAACAUAUCUGAGAGUAACUGUUCAGGUAUUGACGGUAUUUAACCAGAAAGCCACGGCUAACUACGCGCCAG
RNAcentral lists this ribosomal RNA (164 nucleotides) under uncultured bacterium. RNAcentral's name for it is "partial 16S ribosomal RNA". It matches the Rfam family "Bacterial small subunit ribosomal RNA", at positions 355 to 511 of the family's 1533-position model. The record is from RNAcentral.